This 74-nucleotide transfer RNA is filed under the name Scleropages formosus (Asian bonytongue). RNAcentral describes it as "tRNA-Ile". It matches the Rfam family "tRNA". From Rfam's summary of the family: Transfer RNA (tRNA) molecules are approximately 80 nucleotides in length. Their secondary structure includes four short double-helical elements and three loops (D, anti-codon, and T loops). The record is from RNAcentral. Lineage: Eukaryota; Metazoa; Chordata; Actinopteri; Osteoglossiformes; Osteoglossidae.
GCUCUAGUGGCACAAAUGGUUAGCGUGUGGUACUUAUAAUGCCGAGGUUGUGAGUUCGAGCCUCACCUAGAGUA